CCGUAACUAUAACGGUCCUAAGGUAGCGAAAUUCCUUGUCGGGUAAGUUCCGACCCGCACGAAAGGCGUAAUGAUUUGGGCACUGUCUCAACAACACACCCGGUGAAAUUGAAAUACCAGUGAAGAUGCUGGUUACCUGCGCCAGGACGGAAAGACCCCAUGGAGCUUUACUCCAGCUUGAUACUGGGAUUCGGUAUUGCAUGUACAGGAUAGGUGGGAGGCUAUGAAGUGGGAACGCCAGUUUCCAUGGAGCCGACGUUGGGAUACCACCCCUGCAGUACUGGGCUUCUAACAUGCGGCCGUAAGCCGGCCGGUGGACAAUGCCAGGCGGGGAGUUUGACUGGGGCGGUCGCCUCCGAAAGGGUAUCGGAGGCGCUCAAAGGUUCCCUCAGAAUGGUUGGAAACCAUUCGAAGAGUGCAAAGGCAGAAGGGAGCUUGACUGCGACACCGACGGGUGGAGCAGGUACGAAAGUAGGACUUAGUGAUCCGGUGGUAUAAAGUGGGAUUGCCAUCGCUCAACGGAUAAAAGCUACCCUGGGGAUAACAGGCUUAUCACUCCCAAGAGUUCACAUCGACGGAGUGGUUUGGCACCUCGAUGUCGGCUCAUCGCAUCCUGGGGCUGUAGCAGGUCCCAAGGGUUGGGCUGUUCGCCCAUUAAAGCGGUACGCGAGCUGGGUUCAGAACGUCGUGAGACAGUUCGGUCCCUAUCCGGCGUGGGCGUAGGAUAUUUGAGAGGAGCUGUCCUUAGUACGAGAGGACCGGGAUGGACGUACCUCUGGUGCACCAGUUGUCAUGCCAAUGGCACGGCCGGGUAGCCAAGACGGGAAGGGAUAAACGCUGAAGGCAUCUAAGCGUGAAGCCCCCCUCAAGAUGAGAUAUCCCUCCUUCGGGAGUAAGACCCCUUGAAGACUACAAGGUAGAUAGGGCAGAGGUGGAAGCAUGGCAACAUGUGGAGCU
Molecule: ribosomal RNA, 957 nt
Filed under: human gut metagenome
Description: bacterial LSU rRNA
Rfam family: Bacterial large subunit ribosomal RNA
Source: RNAcentral